This 465-nucleotide ribosomal RNA is filed under the name Vreelandella stevensii. RNAcentral's name for it is "partial 16S ribosomal RNA". It matches the Rfam family "Bacterial small subunit ribosomal RNA", at positions 338 to 795 of the family's 1533-position model. The record is from RNAcentral. Lineage: Bacteria; Pseudomonadati; Pseudomonadota; Gammaproteobacteria; Oceanospirillales; Halomonadaceae.
CCUACGGGGGGCUGCAGUGGGGAAUAUUGGACAAUGGGGGGAACCCUGAUCCAGCCAUGUCGCGUGUGUGAAGAAGGCCCUCGGGUUGUAAAGCACUUUCAGUGAGGAAGAACGCCUGGUGGUUAAUACCCAUCAGGAAAGACAUCACUCACAGAAGAAGCACCGGCUAACUCCGUGCCAGCAGCCGCGGUAAUACGGAGGGUGCGAGCGUUAAUCGGAAUUACUGGGCGUAAAGCGCGCGUAGGUGGCUUGAUAAGCCGGUUGUGAAAGCCCCGGGCUCAACCUGGGAACGGCAUCCGGAACUGUCAAGCUAGAGUGCAGGAGAGGAAGGUAGAAUUCCCGGUGUAGCGGUGAAAUGCGUAGAGAUCGGGAGGAAUACCAGUGGCGAAGGCGGCCUUCUGGACUGACACUGACACUGAGGUGCGAAAGCGUGGGUAGCAAACAGGAUUAGAUACCCCAGUAGUC